CCUACGGGGGGCAGCAGUGGGGAAUAUUGGUCAAUGGACGAGAGUCUGAACCAGCCAAGUAGCGUGAAGGAUGACUGCCCUAUGGGUUGUAAACUUCUUUUAUAUGGGAAUAAAAUGUUCCACGUGUGGGAUUUUGUAUGGACCAUAUGAAUAAGGAUCGGCUAAGUCAGUGCCAGCAGCCGCGGUAAUACGGAGGAUCCGAGCGUUAUCCGGAUUUAUUGGGGUUAAAGGGAGCGUAGGUGGAUUGUUAAGUCAGUUGUGAAAGUUUGCGGCUCAACCGUAAAAUUGCAGUUGAAACUGGCAGUCUUGAGUACAGUAGAGGUGAGCGGAAUUCGUGGUGUAGCGGUGAAAUGCUUAGAUAUCACGAAGAACUCCGAUUGCGAAGGCAGUUCACUGGACUGCAACUGACACUGAGGCUCGAAAGUGUGGGUAUCAAACAGGAUUAGAUACCCGUGUAGUC
This 460-nucleotide ribosomal RNA is filed under the name uncultured bacterium. Its description in RNAcentral is "partial 16S ribosomal RNA". It matches the Rfam family "Bacterial small subunit ribosomal RNA", at positions 338 to 795 of the family's 1533-position model. The record is from RNAcentral.